Molecule: non-coding RNA, 68 nt
Organism: Phrynosoma platyrhinos (Desert horned lizard)
Lineage: Eukaryota; Metazoa; Chordata; Lepidosauria; Squamata; Phrynosomatidae
Source: the annotation of a GenBank genome assembly
GCCAGUGUGGUGUAGUGGUUUGAAUGUUGGACUACAACUCUGGAGCAGGGUUUGAAUCCCCUCUUGCG